UGGGGAAUUUUGGACAAUGGGGGAAACCCUGAUCCAGCCAUCCCGCGUGUGCGAUGAAGGCCUUCGGGUUGUAAAGCACUUUUGGCAGGAAAGAAACGUCAUGGGUUAAUACCCCGUGAAACUGACGGUACCUGCAGAAUAAGCACCGGCUAACUACGUGCCAGCAGCCGCGGUAAUACGUAGGGUGCAAGCGUUAAUCGGAAUUACUGGGCGUAAAGCGUGCGCAGGCGGUUCGGAAAGAAAGAUGUGAAAUCCCAGAGCUCAACUUUGGAACUGCAUUUUUAACUACCGGGCUAGAGUGUGUCAGAGGGAGGUGGAAUUCCGCGUGUAGCAGUGAAAUGCGUAGAUAUGCGGAGGAACACCGAUGGCGAAGGCAGCCUCCUGGGAUAACACUGACGCUCAUGCACGAAAGCGUGGGGAGCAUACAGG
RNAcentral lists this ribosomal RNA (429 nucleotides) under Acidobacteriota bacterium. Its description in RNAcentral is "Acidobacteria bacterium partial 16S ribosomal RNA". It matches the Rfam family "Bacterial small subunit ribosomal RNA", at positions 355 to 776 of the family's 1533-position model. Lineage: Bacteria; Pseudomonadati; Acidobacteriota. The record is from RNAcentral.